UACCAGCACCCCGAGUGGUCGGGACGAUUAUUGGGCCUAAAGCAUCCGUAGCCGGUCAUGCAAGUCUUCCGUUAAAUCCACCCGCUCAACGGUUGGGCUGCGGAGGAUACUACGUGGCUAGGAGGCGGGAGAGGCAAGCGGUACUCAGUGGGUAGGGGUAAAAUCCUUUGAUCCAUUGAAGACCACCAGUGGCGAAGGCGGCUUGCCAGAACGCGCUCGACGGUGAGGGAUGAAAGCUGGGGGAGCAAACCGG
Molecule: ribosomal RNA, 253 nt
Filed under: uncultured bacterium
Lineage: Bacteria
Also listed under: 1 other name
Description: partial 16S ribosomal RNA
Rfam family: Archaeal small subunit ribosomal RNA
Source: RNAcentral